Molecule: ribosomal RNA, 381 nt
Filed under: Bos taurus (domestic cattle)
Lineage: Eukaryota; Metazoa; Chordata; Mammalia; Artiodactyla; Bovidae
Description: partial 12S ribosomal RNA
Source: RNAcentral
CAUAGGUUUGGUCCCAGCCUUCCUGUUAACUCUUAAUAAACUUACACAUGCAAGCAUCUACACCCCAGUGAGAAUGCCCUCUAGGUUAUUAAAACUAAGAGGAGCUGGCAUCAAGCACACACCCUGUAGCUCACGACGCCUUGCUUAACCACACCCCCACGGGAAACAGCAGUGACAAAAAUUAAGCCAUAAACGAAAGUUUGACUAAGUUAUAUUAAUUAGGGUUGGUAAAUCUCGUGCCAGCCACCGCGGUCAUACGAUUAACCCAAGCUAACAGGAGUACGGCGUAAAACGUGUUAAAGCACCAUACCAAAUAGGGUUAAAUUCUAACUAAGCUGUAAAAAGCCAUGAUUAAAAUAAAAAUAAAUGACGAAAGUGACC